AUUGAACGCUGGCGGCAGGCCUAACACAUGCAAGUCGAACGGUAGCACAGAGAGCUUGCUCUUGGGUGACGAGUGGCGGACGGGUGAGUAAUGUCUGGGAAACUGCCCGAUGGAGGGGGAUAACUACUGGAAACGGUAGCUAAUACCGCAUAACGUCGCAAGACCAAAGUGGGGGACCUUCAGGCCUCACACCAUCGGAUGUGCCCAGAUGGGAUUAGCUAGUUGGUGAGGUAAUGGCUCACCAAGGCGACGAUCCCUAGCUGGUCUGAGAGGAUGACCAGCCACACUGGAACUGAGACACGGUCCAGACUCCUACGGGAGGCAGCAGUGGGGAAUAUUGCACAAUGGGCGCAAGCCUGAUGCAGCCAUGCCGCGUGUAUGAAGAAGGCCUUCGGGUUGUAAAGUACUUUCAGCGAGGAGGAAGGCGUUAAGGUUAAUAACCUUAGCGAUUGACGUUACUCGCAGAAGAAGCACCGGCUAACUCCGUGCCAGCCGCCGCGGUAA
Molecule: ribosomal RNA, 504 nt
Filed under: uncultured bacterium
Lineage: Bacteria
Description: partial 16S ribosomal RNA
Rfam family: Bacterial small subunit ribosomal RNA
Source: RNAcentral